CCUACGGGUGGCUGCAGUCGAGAAUCUUCCGCAAUGGACGAAAGUCUGACGGAGCGACGCCGCGUGAUUGAUGAAGUCCUUCGGGAUGUAAAGAUCUUUUAUAGAGGAGAAAGUUUAUUGAUCUCUCUGUGAAUAAGAGGUGGCUAAACUCGUGCCAGCAGCAGCGGUAAUACGAGUGCCUCAAGCGUUAUCCGGAAUUAUUGGGCGUAAAGGGUGCGCAGACUGUCAUGUUAGUCUCUUGUUAAAGCCUACGGCUCAACCGUAGAAUCGCAAGGGAAACGGCAUGACUUGAGAGCGUGAGGGGUCUAUGGAACUCUAGGUGUAGGGGUAAUAUCCGUUGAUAUCUAGGGGAACACCAAAAGCGAAGGCAAUAGACUGGCACGUUUCUGACGUUCAUGCACGAAAGCGUGGGUAGCGAAUGGGAUUAGAUACCCUAGUAGUC
RNAcentral lists this ribosomal RNA (442 nucleotides) under uncultured bacterium. Its description in RNAcentral is "bacterial SSU rRNA". It matches the Rfam family "Bacterial small subunit ribosomal RNA", at positions 338 to 795 of the family's 1533-position model. The record is from RNAcentral.